GGAAUAUUGCACAAUGGGCGAAAGCCUGAUGCAGCGACGCCGCGUGAGGGAUGACGGCCUUCGGGUUGUAAACCUCUUUCAGUAGGGAACAAGGCCAGGCAUUGUCUGGUUGAGGGUACUUGCAGAAGAAGCGCCGGCUAACUACGUGCCAGCAGCCGCGGUAAUACGUAGGGCGCAAGCGUUAUCCGGAAUUAUUGGGCGUAAAGAGCUCGUAGGCGGUUUGUCGCGUCUGCCGUGAAAGUCCGGGGCUCAACUCCGGAUCUGCGGUGGGUACGGGCAGACUAGAGUGAUGUAGGGGAGACUGGAAUUCCUGGUGUAGCGGUGAAAUGCGCAGAUAUCAGGAGGAACACCGAUGGCGAAGGCAGGUCUCUGGGCAUUAACUGACGCUGAGGAGCGAAAGCAUGGGGAGCGAACAGGAUUAGAUACCCUGG
RNAcentral lists this ribosomal RNA (431 nucleotides) under uncultured Arthrobacter sp. RNAcentral describes it as "bacterial SSU rRNA". It matches the Rfam family "Bacterial small subunit ribosomal RNA", at positions 358 to 790 of the family's 1533-position model. Lineage: Bacteria; Bacillati; Actinomycetota; Actinomycetes; Micrococcales; Micrococcaceae. The record is from RNAcentral.